ACUUGUCUAGCUCAGUUGGUAAAAUACAUGACUCUUAACCCUGUGGUCGUGGGUUCGAGUCCCACGGUGGGCG
Non-coding RNA from Zea mays, 73 nucleotides. NCBI's taxonomy places the organism in Eukaryota, Viridiplantae, Streptophyta, Magnoliopsida, Poales, Poaceae. The record is from Rfam.